CCACCGGGGCUGCCCUGAACACUGUAGUUUUUUGUAGUAAGUUUUGAAAUUAAGAAGUAUGAGAUAUUCAACUUUGUUCUCUCAAAAUCAUUUUGCUGUUUGGUCCCCCUUGUAGUUUCAUAUGAAUUUGCAGAAUGGCUUUUCAUUUUUGCAAAAAGGGUCAUUGGAAUUUUGAUAGGGAUUGUUUAAAAUCUGUAGAUCACUUUGGAUAGCGUUACCAUUUAAAAAUAUAUUUUUUAUUUAUUUGAGGAAGAGAGAGAGAUAGCAUGAAUAGGGAGAGAGGAAGAGGAAGAAGCAGACUACCUGCUAAGCAGGGAGCCCAAUGUAGGGUUCUAUCCCAGGACUCUGGGAUCAGGAGCUGAGUCAAAGACAUAUGCUUAACUGAUUGAGCUACUCAGGCGCCCCUAGCAUUACCAUUUUGACACUAUUAGAUCUUCCAAUCCCUGAACAUAGAUGGGAUGCCUUUUUGUUUGUUAAGUCUUCUUUAAUAUCUUUCAGCAGUAUUUUGUACUUCUUGUGUAUGUCUUUUACAUCCUUGGCUAAAUUUAUUCCUAUAUAUUUUACUCUUUUGUAUGCUAUACUGAAUGGAAUUGUCUCGUAAUUUCCUUUUGGAUUAUUUAUUCAGAUGUAUAGAAACACAGUUUACCUUAAUGUGUUGAUCUUAUCCCCUGAAACUUUGCUGAACUUAAUUUCUUCUAGUUUUGUAGUUGUGGAUUCAUAAUAUAUAAUAUAAUAUAAUAUAAUAUAAUAUAAUAUAAUUAUAAUAUAACAUAUAAAUAAUAUACAUGUGUAUAGGAUCAUGUCAUUUGAGAAUAUAUUUUUAUUUCUUCCUUUCCAAUUUGGUUACCUUUUAUUUAUUUUUCUUGCCUUAUUGCUCUAGAUAGAACUUCCAGUACAAUGUUUAAAAAGCAGUGAUAAAAGUGACGUCCUUGUCUGGUUCCUACUUAAUUAUACAGUUGUUCACAGUAUUAUCUUAUUAUAAUGCUUUCUUACUUCUGGAAAGUCCCACUUUCAUUUCUGAUUUUAGUUAUUUGCAUCUUUUUUUUUUCCUAAGUAAAUUUAGCUAAAGUUUUUGCCAAUUUCGUCAGUGUUUUCAAAGUACCAACUCUUGGUUGCAUUGAUUCUCUCUGUUGUUCUUUGUUCCCUGUUUCAUUUAUCUCUGCUGUAACCUUUAUUUCUUUCUUCCUACUGUCUUUUAGCUUGGUUGGCUCUUUUUUUUUUCUAGUUCCUUAGGGUAUAAAGUUAAGUUAUUGAUUUGAGGUCUUCUUUUUAAAAAUGUUCAUAGUUAAAUUUCCCUCUUAGCACUGUUUUCACUGCAUCCCAUGUGUUUUGAUAUUUUUUUUAUUUUCAUUCAUCUCAAAGUAUUUUAUCAUUUUCUUGUGAGUUCUUCUUUGACCCAUUAGUUACUUAAGAGUAUGUUUUGUGAAUUUUCCAGUUUUCUGUUACUAAUUUUUAGCUUUUUAUAUUGGAGAAGAUAUUUUGUAUGAUUUCAGUCUUUUAAAAUAUAUUGUUUUGUGGACUAACAUAUGAUCUAUUCUGGAGACUGUUUUAUGUGCACCUGAGAAGAAUGUGUAUUCUGUUUUUGUUUUUAAGAUUUUAUGUAUUUAUUCAUGAGAGACACAGAGAGAGGCAAAGACAUAGGCAGAGAGAGAAGCAGGCUCCAUGUGAGGAGGCUGAUGCAGGACUCGAUCCCAGGACCCCGGGAUCAUGACCUGAGCCAAAGGCAGGCACCCAACCCAACUGAGCCAUCCAGGUGCCCCUGUAUUCUGUUUUUGGUUGAAGUAUUUUAUAUAUGUCUGUUAGGUCUACUUAGUUCAAUGUUGUUCAAAUCCUCUAUUUCCUUAUUGAACUUCUGUCUAGACGCUCUAUUCUUUAUUGAAGUGAAGUAUUGGAAUCUCCAACAUUAUUGUAGAACUAUCUAUCUCUCCUUUCAGUUCAGUUCAUCUCCAUCCUUAUGUUGUUUUAUCACAAAUUCCUUUUUUUACGUUGUGUGCUGAUUAACAUAGAUUUAUAAUUAUUUUGUGCAUUUGCCCUUUAAAUCAUAUGGGAAACUAAUGGGGAGUUACAAAUCAAAUAUACAAUAAUACUGGCUUUAUAUUUACGAACAUGGUUACUUUUACUGGAUUUCUUUCUUUAUAUGGUUUUGAGUUAUUGUCUAGUGUCUUUUCAUUUCAGCCUAAAGGACUCCCUUUAGCAUUUCAUGUAGGACAGGUCUACUAGUGAUGAACUCCCUCAGCUUUUGUUUCUCUAGAACUAAGGUCUUAAUUUCCACUUUUUUUUUUAAAGAUUUUAUUUAUUUAUUCAUGAGAGACACAGAGAGAGACAGAGACACAGGCAGAGAGAGAAGCAGGCUCCAUGCAGGGAGCCCGAUGUGGGACUUUGUCCCAGGAUUCCAGGGUCAUGCCCUGAGCCAAAGGCAGGCACUAAACCACUGAGCCACCCAGGAAACCCCCAAAAAUGUUCAGUUUUUUUUUAAAUGUUCAGUUUUAAACAAAAAAAAAUCACAAGGGAUUAAAAGAAUAAAGUACAGUUCAUUCACAGAAAAGAAAGAGAAGCUUACAGAAACUGUCACCAAGGAAGCCCAAACAUUGGACUUAAUAGGCAAAUAUUUUAUUGUUUUUAAAGAUUUUUUAAGUAAUCUCUACACCCAAUGUGGGGCUCAAACUCACAACUCCAAGAUCAAGAGUUGCAUGCCCUAACAACUAAGCCAGCCAGGCAUUCCAUUAGGCAAAUAUUUUAAAUCAAAUGUCUUAAAUACACUCAAAGAGCUAAAGAAAAUAAUAGAUGAAAAAACUAAAGGAAACUAGGAGAAUGAAGAAAUGAAUAAAGAAUAUCUAUAGAUAUACAUUACUUGUAUUUAUAUUAUAUUAAUAUACAUUUAUUAUUAUAUAAGAGCUAAAUAAAAAUUCUAGAGCUAAACAGCACAGUAGCUGAAAUGGAAAACUCAUUACAGGAAUUCAACAGCAGAUUCAAGCUGGCAGAAGAAAAAAUGAGUGAACUUGGAGAUAAGACUACUGAAAUUAUUCUGAAUAGGAGAAAGAAAAAAAAAAGACUCAACUCUCUCUUCAUGUCUCUCAGGAAUAAAUAAAUAAAAUCUUUAAAAAAUAAAAAACUCAAAAAAUAAAACAACAUUUUGAAUAUUACAGUGUGUCAAUCUGGGAAUCAGAUCCCCCUCCCAGGGUUUGCUGUUGUUGAUUAUUGAAGGCUGUUGUCAUCCAUUUGUUUAUUGACUUUUCCAAACUGUUUUUGCAAGACUGCAUUUCUUGUUCUGUGUAAUUACCGAAACUCUGUUCCAUUAUCUCAGCAAUCAGUCAGUGACCUGACAGAGAUUUCCUUAAAUGACUAGGGUAAAAACACCACCACCAUCUCUCCACAUUUUUGUAGCUUGGCUCUGAGCUGGUGUACUACUUCAGUGCUAAACCAAUUUGCCUGAAACUCUGCCUUAGUCUUCACCUCUGGAUUGCAUGGAGUCUGAAGAUCAGCCAAAGCUGCAAGCCUAGGGUCCUCUCAGGUCUUCUCUGAACAUACAGCUAUCCCUGGGCAUGUACUCUAUAUGCUGUAUUUCCCCAAUCACACAGUAACUCUUCAGAGUCCUUAUUUCCCCAUGUAAGCUUCCUUCUCAGUCUCCUACUUGUCAGGCUUUUAGAUCCAUCUGCUGCUUGUUCCAUUCUCUGUCUCUUGCCCUAGGCAGCCACCAGUAAUCUAAGUUUUUAAAUACUUUCAACAGAUGCUGCUUGGAAAGCUGCUCUAGGCUGAGGGGGCAAAACAAAGGUCAGAUUCAGCAUGGGUCCCUCAGGGAACCACCAGACAGGGCAGAGUGACAGCCAGUCUUUUGAGAAUAAGGGUGCAUCUAUCCUCCCCUGGUACUAGCAAGCCACACCAGGAAUGUGGACUGAUGUCCCACAGCCACCACCUAACCGAGGAAUGGGGGAUGGUAGACAGGUAAACAAAAAUGCUACAACGUUUUGUUACUGAAAUUUAACAGCUGCUUUUUUUCAUUAAGCACAGCACUGGUUGGACUCCACUCUAAAUUUUUUUAGAUUCCAGAAUUCUAAAAAAGUUGCUUCUGUCAGUUUUUGCCAGCAUAAUGCUAGCUUCAGUGGAGGACUGGUUCUUGUAACUCUCUACUCUGCCAUUUCUAUGAUAUCACAAUAUUGUUUAACUUUUUGAGGACCCAUCAAACUGUUUUCCAUAGCAACUGCACCAUUUUACCCUCCCACCAGAAAUGUGAGUUCCAUUUUCUCCACAUCUUUUCCAACAUUUGUUAUUUUUGGUUUUUCUUUUUUGAUGAUCACCAUCCUAGUGGAUGUAAAAUGGUAUGUCCUUACAGUUUUGAUUUACACUUCCUUAAUAACUAAUGAUGUCAAGCAUUUUUUUCAUGUGAUUAUUGCCCAUUUGUAUAUCUUCUUUGGAAAAGCAUCCAAAAUUUAUGCCCACUAUUUUUCAUGCCCACUAUUUAAUUGGAUAACUUAUCUAAGAUCCAUUUUUUUAUACAUGUCAUUUUCUACUUUUUUUUUCUUACACGGUUAUCCUAAAAGUCAUGCAUUAAGAAAAUAAAUACAGGGCAGCCCCGGUGGCUCAGCGGUUUAACGCCCCCUGCAGCCCAGGGCGUGAUCCUGGAGACCCGGGAUUGAGUCCUCCGACCGGCUCCCUGCAUGGAGCCUGCUUCUCCCUCUGCCUGUCUCU
This 4686-nucleotide long non-coding RNA is filed under the name Canis lupus familiaris (dog). RNAcentral's name for it is "lncRNA (ENSCAFG00000051273.1)". Lineage: Eukaryota; Metazoa; Chordata; Mammalia; Carnivora; Canidae. The record is from RNAcentral.